This is a non-coding RNA of Mycena vulgaris, 93 nucleotides long. NCBI's taxonomy places the organism in Eukaryota, Fungi, Basidiomycota, Agaricomycetes, Agaricales, Mycenaceae. The record is from the annotation of a GenBank genome assembly.
UCAGAUAUGGUGUAGUGGGAACAUUGCUUCGUAAUAUGCCGAAAAAAUCUUCAUCUUUCGUGGCAGUCCGAGGUUCGAAUCCUUGUGUCUGAA